UNGCUACGGUUUGCCCUAUGAUCUUUGCAUUA
This 32-nucleotide non-coding RNA is filed under the name Mus musculus (house mouse). The record is from RNAcentral. Lineage: Eukaryota; Metazoa; Chordata; Mammalia; Rodentia; Muridae.